GGGGCGCAGCAGGCGAGAAAACUUUGCAAUGUGCGAAAGCACGACAAGGUUAAUCCGAGUGAUUUCUGCUAAAGAAAUCUUUUGCCAGUCAUAAAACCACUAGUGAAUAAGGGGUGGGCAAGUUCUGGUGUCAGCCGCCGCGGUAAAACCAGCACCUCAAGUGGUCAGGAGGAUUAUUGGGCCUAAAGCAUCCGUAGCCGGCUCUGUAAGUUUUCGGUUAAAUCUAUACGCUCAACGUAUAGGCUGCCGAAAAUACUGCAGAGCUAGGGAGUGGGAGAGGUAGACGGUACUCGGUAGGAAGGGGUAAAAUCCUUUGAUCUAUCGAUGACCACCUGUGGCGAAGGCGGUCUACCAGAACACGUUCGACGGUGAGGGAUGAAAGCUGGGGGAGCAAACCGGAUUAGAURCCCGGGUAGUCCCAGCUGUAAACGAUGCAGACUCGAUGAUGCAUUGGCAUAUAGCCAGUGCAGUGUCGCAGGGAAGCCGUUAAGUCUGCCGCCUGGGAAGUACGUACGCAAGUAUGAAACUUAAAGGAAAUGGCGGGGGAGCCCCACAAGGG
This 559-nucleotide ribosomal RNA is filed under the name uncultured marine group I thaumarchaeote. Its description in RNAcentral is "bacterial SSU rRNA". It matches the Rfam family "Archaeal small subunit ribosomal RNA", at positions 327 to 887 of the family's 1478-position model. Lineage: Archaea; Thermoproteati; Nitrososphaerota. The record is from RNAcentral.